AUUGAACGCUGGCGGCAGGCCUAACACAUGCAAGUCGAACGGUAACAGGAAGCAGCUUGCUGCUUUGCUGACGAGUGGCGGACGGGUGAGUAAUGUCUGGGAAACUGCCUGAUGGAGGGGGAUAACUACUGGAAACGGUAGCUAAUACCGCAUAACGUCGCAAGACCAAAGAGGGGGACCUUCGGGCCUCUUGCCAUCGGAUGUGCCCAGAUGGGAUUAGCUAGUAGGUGGGGUAACGGCUCACCUAGGCGACGAUCCCUAGCUGGUCUGAGAGGAUGACCAGCCACACUGGAACUGAGACACGGUCCAGACUCCUACGGGAGGCAGCAGUGGGGAAUAUUGCACAAUGGGCGCAAGCCUGAUGCAGCCAUGCCGCGUGUAUGAAGAAGGCCUUCGGGUUGUAAAGUACUUUUCAGCGGGGAGGAAGGCGAUAAGGUUAAUAACCUUGUCGAUUGACGUUACCCGCCGAAGAAGCACCCGCUAAC
RNAcentral lists this ribosomal RNA (485 nucleotides) under Enterobacter hormaechei. RNAcentral's name for it is "bacterial SSU rRNA". It matches the Rfam family "Bacterial small subunit ribosomal RNA", at positions 30 to 501 of the family's 1533-position model. Lineage: Bacteria; Pseudomonadati; Pseudomonadota; Gammaproteobacteria; Enterobacterales; Enterobacteriaceae. The record is from RNAcentral.